RNAcentral lists this ribosomal RNA (499 nucleotides) under uncultured bacterium. RNAcentral describes it as "partial 16S ribosomal RNA". It matches the Rfam family "Bacterial small subunit ribosomal RNA", at positions 28 to 507 of the family's 1533-position model. The record is from RNAcentral.
GACGAACGCUGGCGGCGUGCCUAAUACAUGCAAGUCGAGCGAAGUUUUUCUGGUGCUUGCACCGGAAAAACUUAGCGGCGAACGGGUGAGUAACACGUAAAGAACCUGCCUCAUAGACUGGGACAACUAUUGGAAACGAUAGCUAAUACCGGAUAAUAGCAUUAACUGCAUGGUUGAUGUUUAAAAGUUUGUUUUGCUAACACUAUGAGAUGGCUUUGCGGUGCAUUAGCUAGUUGGUGGGGUAAAGGCCUACCAAGGCGACGAUGCAUAGCCGACCUGAGAGGGUGAUCGGCCACACUGGGACUGAGACACGGCCCAGACUCCUACGGGAGGCAGCAGUAGGGAAUCUUCCGCAAAGGGCGAAAGCCUGACGGAGCAACGCCGCGUGAGUGAAGAAGGAUUUCGGUUCGUAAAGCUCUGUUGUUAGGGAAGAAUGAUUGUGUAGUAACUAUACACAGUAGAGACGGUACCUAACCAGAAAGCCACGGCUAACUACGUG